GAACGCGUCAGCACGUACGCAAUCCGCAAGGCAGUGUGCACCACCCCAAGAGAAAAGAAACUUUCGAUUUGUGAGCCUAAGGCACGCCCGCAAAUGUCGCGAAAACGACGGCAGCGGGCGGCCACUGUCAGCGGUACCCCCUUCCCUGUCUCCCUCGCCUCUGCGGCCUCAUCAGCGUCGUCUGAGCAGCUGCCGAACGGCACGACUCGUAGUCGCACAAAAUGCAGAGAGAAUGGCGACGGGUGUUGUGUGUCAGCGCGGCACAGCCCGCAUCCAGAGCCUCCGUCCCUCUCCCGCUCAGAGGCUGUCCGUGCGGCUCAUUCACGCGUGAGCAGCAGCGGCAGCGGCGCCAUUCAUCGCGAAGAGCCGUCGGUGGUGGGUAUGGAGGACUUCCCUUCCCCUGUGCCGUACCUCCGUCGCGUCGCCAGCUCUGACGGGUAUCUUAAUGGCAGUAGGCACGGCAAGUCCUUCGCUGUAAGUGAACGUCCGCCAAAUGGCAGCGCAAGGGUGGGCAUUACGGCCAUGCAGAAUGCCACUUACUGCGGCAACUGGUCUCAGGUGGUCCUCGGGGCCACCUCUGCCAUCAUGUUCCUCCUUGUUCUCUGCGUCAGCUACGCCCUUUACAUUCUCGUCACCCCGUAUGGACAGAGCAUCAUGAACGGCGUGCUACUCUCCAUCGUCAUGCACCCGCAGAGCCGCCUGCGGUCGUCACUCUACAUGGGCACUGCUGUCGAUCGUAUGACGCGCAUGCAGCAGCGCUGGGUGGUGCGGGGGCGGUUGAUGGGCCUUGUCGGUUCGUGGCUAUCCUUGUGCCACUUCGCGUCCUUUGUGGUGAUGCAGGGGACCUUCUUCUUGGGCCUCAACAAGAUCCACGUGCACGCACACUCAGCGCUCCUGGAAGAGGCCUCCGCAGCUGGACGUGGUGCCGGAGUGGGCGUCAAGGGCGCCAGCACGCGCACCAUGCCGCGUUGCCCGUACGCCUCCCAUGGCGCAACCAAUCCAGCGACGCAGUCAGCUGCGUCGACCACGCGACAAGGGGGCGCUGGCGGCGUGUCGCGCCCCGCGGGGACCUCCACAUCCUCGACGGCCGCCUCGAGAGCACCUCCUUCGACGGGCGUACCGCCAGCCCAGCUUCACCGACGCCUCGUGUCCACCCCGCGCGGGCGCCGUGCCCUGCGCUGGCUCACCAUCUCCAUCAUCGUCAUUGUUGCCCACUUGCUGGUUGGUGUCACCUAUUUUGCGCUCCUUCACGCUGCUUUGGGUGUUGUGUUUGCCGUCACGGUGCCCUUCCUGCCUGCUGACACCUUCGUCAGCUCCAUGGGGCGCCUGUGGCGGGCUGCAGUCCUCCUGUUCUUCGUGGUGGGCCUCACUCUUAACUUGACGGCUGAUGUACUGUCCAUCAGCGAGGCGGUGCGACGCACCACAUCUGCUGUCGUAGGCAGCGGUGGCGGUGGCGGGGAUGAUGCGGCCAUGGUAGCUCCGUCCACCUCUAACGUCCGUGAUGGAGUUGUAGCGGUGCUGGGUGUGGAGAACUGCACCCCGACUGCGCCGUUUGCGAAGGUGGCCGUCACGGGCGACAGCUUAGCAAGCGGGGAGGACGCAACGAGCGAGGCGGCCGCGGCGGCGACGUCGCGCGCCGACGUGGACGCGCUGAGUGUGUUGGGUGAGUACCGCAGCCGUAUCGAGGCCUUCCUCAUUGGCAAGAUCCAGGACCUCGUCGUGCAGGAGUUGGCGGAUAUGUUCAGCGACGGCAACGUCUCGAAGAUGGUCGAGACGCUCAUGGAGGUGCUUCCGCCGCAGCUGCGCGCGGUGGUGACGCGCGAUGACACGGUGCUCGCUGCACUUGAGAAGUCGACUAGCGAGGGCGGCACCUCGUCAUUGAGCGGAGGAGAGGACGGCACUCACGAAAAGGCUGCUGCGCAGCCGCUCUCGUGGCGCGCUGUGCUGGCGAAUGCGCGUGGCCUGCGCCCCGCAAGCGCCAUCAAGUCGCUCGUCUACGACUCCCUCUCGGGCACGUCUGCCAGGACUCUCAACAGCGCGAGUGACACGAGUGUCCGCGGCGCGGCGGCGGCGGUCCACAAGGUAGAGAUCAACUGGCUCACCGUCUCCCGCCUGAUGGCAUCUCGCCUGCUGCCCUACGUCGAGCACGCGCUGCGUCUGUUCUUCCGAGUUGGCUCCAAUCUGCUCGGCCUCUUCGACAGCAUCUACGCCGUCAUUCUCUUUGUUUUCUGCUACCGCUACCUCACCCAGCUCGAGCACACAGUGCUCUACUACGGCGUGGCGAAGUUGCUGCGCGUGAUGCAGCCGGAGCUGGGCGAUCACCACGCCCGCAACAUUGAGCAGGACAUCACAGUCUCCUUCAUCACGCUUCUUCAGUCGUUCUGGCACCUGACGUGGUUUCACUUCUGCAUUACGUUCUGCGCCUUCAAACUCUGGGGAUUCCCGACGCCGUUUUUGUUGGGGCUCGUCUCCGUCGUCCUGGCGCUCUUUCCGCUCGUACCGAAGUGGUUGAGCCCGUGCUCCAUCGCGCUGGUGUACAUGCUGGUGCAGCUCGGAUCGCUCGUCACCUCUGAAGGGACGAGUUGCAGUGGCAGCCGCGGGCCAGGGGAGGCGCACGCGGCUGCUUCGACCGUCAUUCCUCUCCUCUCGUUCCCGCCUGGCCGAUCGUGGAUCGAGGUUCUCGUGUGGGGCAAGCCUUAUGUUCUCCACUACACCCGCGCCCUCAGUUUUGGCCUGGCCGUCCUGCUGGAGUGCGGCGACGAAUGGCUUCUCUGCGUCUCGCGAGGACUGCGCGGCGGCUUCUUCACGGAGGCCGACGGGAAGGGCCGCGAGCAGCUGCAGCCCUUUGUGAUCGGGACAGCGCUGGUGCUGGGAUUUGUUGCCUACGGCACCCGCGGCAUCGUCUUCGGCCCUUUGACGGUCAUCGUCGCGCGCGUACUCUUCGAUAACUGGGACAUUGUGCUGGCGAACCGCGAGCCCGGCCGUCUGACCUUACCGCCGUCGUCGUUUGUGGGUGUGGAAGGGAACGACGACGAGGAAACCUCGAUGGUGGAAUCACCAUAGCGGGGCGCCGCCACGUAUGAGCUCCGCGCCAGAGCGGGUUGACGCCACGCGUGCUCACGCGCGCAGGUGUACGGCAAACCCCCCCCCUCAGCCCACCUUGUCACACACUGCUUCACUCGCAGCCCUUGCGGAGACUAAGAGAUAGACCAGCUGCACACGUAGACAUAUAUAUAUAUAUAUAAUACAUCGGUAUUUGUGCACAUCCGCAUUCAACGAGAUAUCCACUGAGGGCACACACACACACACACACGGAUCCCUCCCCUUCUCCUCACGCAUCGACGCAUCUUCGUCAGGUGCGUCGACGAAGAUAUCAAAAGCAAAAAGACGUUCACAUCGAAAAAAACGUACAGCUCUGGUGGUUUUGUGGGAGAGGAA
Molecule: unclassified non-coding RNA, 3438 nt
Filed under: Leishmania donovani
Lineage: Eukaryota; Euglenozoa; Kinetoplastea; Trypanosomatida; Trypanosomatidae
Description: gene:LdHU3.24.0840(CDS-product:hypothetical_prote in_conserved)
Source: RNAcentral